UGUCCGUGGUCAUCCACGGCACGACCGCCGCCGGACACGGCACGCCCACCGCCGGCCACGGCACGCCCACCGCCGGCCACGGCACGCCCACCGCCGGCCACGGCACGACCGCCGCCGGCCACGGCACGACCGCCGCUGGCUCGCAGAGCAGAGGGGACGAGUGGAGAGGAGAAAGAGAAUGUGAGCUGAGGAGAUACGUGCAGAUGCUGUUAAGCCGUUCCCCGGGAAUUCCUCUGAGUGGGGAGUUUCAGGAGUCUGGAUCCGCUCUGGGCAGGGACCCCGCCGAGAAGUGUCCACCUCAUCAACCUCCUCCUCCCCCGAGUUCUGUCGGGGAGGUCAUCUGCUCACCCAUUGUUCCUCGCACUUGCAAGGUAUGCGUCGCACUGCUGCUGCUGGAGCAGAGGUCGCAACCGGAUACCCGAUACCCGUACCCUACCCGAUACCCGGCUACCCGUACCCGGCCGGGUACGGGUACGGGUACCCAUUUGCGACCCUGGUGCGGCCGGGUACGGGUAGGCCGUGAGUCACUGGUGAGUCACCGUUUGUCACUCAUUUCCCAACGUCUUGUCUCUUCUCACAAUUCAAGUUUCUAGAAUCAACCCACCCGCGCCCGCAACAUGGCUUCAUCCCAGAGGUCGCAAUCAGGUACCCGAUACCCGUACCCUACCCGUACUCGGCCGGGUAGGGUACGGGUACGGCCGGGUACCCGUUUGCGACCCUGGUGCGGCUGGGUACGGGUAAGGAAUCAAAACCCGUUUGCGACCUCUGUGCUAGAGUAGAUUUGAAGUUUUUGUGACUUCAAGGAUUCAUACUCUUUAUAGUAAUAGGUUUUUACCCUUUCAACUGGUACAAAAACUGACACCUUUAUACAAGGGAUCAUGUUUGCAAUAACCACAACACAAGCAGUCAAAAUGCAAA
Lethenteron reissneri (Far Eastern brook lamprey) is the source of this 918-nucleotide long non-coding RNA. RefSeq lists it as uncharacterized. The record is from RefSeq and is a predicted model, not a curated record. Lineage: Eukaryota; Metazoa; Chordata; Hyperoartia; Petromyzontiformes; Petromyzontidae.